GGGGGACCAUCCUCCAAGGCUAAAUACUCCUGACUGACCGAUAGUGAACCAGUACCGUGAGGGAAAGGCGAAAAGAACCCGGCGAGGGGAGUGAAAAAGAACCUGAAACCGUGUACGUACAAGCAGUGGGAGCACCUUCGGGUGUGACUGCGUACCUUUUGUAUAAUGGGUCAGCGACUUAUAUUCUGUAGCAAGGUUAACCGUAUAGGGGAGCCGCAGGGAAACCGAGUCUAACUGGGCGUUAAGUUGCAGGGUAUAGACCCGAAACC
Molecule: ribosomal RNA, 269 nt
Filed under: Klebsiella pneumoniae
Lineage: Bacteria; Pseudomonadati; Pseudomonadota; Gammaproteobacteria; Enterobacterales; Enterobacteriaceae
Description: partial 23S ribosomal RNA
Rfam family: Bacterial large subunit ribosomal RNA
Source: RNAcentral